This 179-nucleotide small nuclear RNA is filed under the name Calidris pugnax (ruff). Lineage: Eukaryota; Metazoa; Chordata; Aves; Charadriiformes; Scolopacidae. The record is from RNAcentral.
AUCAAGUGUAGUUGUGUAGUUGGCAUCAAGUGCAGUAUCUGUUCUUAUCAGUUUAAUAUCUGAUACAUCCUCGAUGAGAGGACUUUUUUUUGUGCUCGCUUUGGCAGCACAUAUACUAAAAUUGGAAUGAUACGGAGAAGAUUAGCAUGGCCCUUGCACAAGGAUGACGUGCAAAUUCA